AACAAAGGUUUCCGUAGGUGACCUGCGGAAGGAUCAUUG
This 39-nucleotide ribosomal RNA is filed under the name Sporobolus hookerianus (alkali cordgrass). RNAcentral's name for it is "partial 18S ribosomal RNA". The record is from RNAcentral. Lineage: Eukaryota; Viridiplantae; Streptophyta; Magnoliopsida; Poales; Poaceae.